Molecule: long non-coding RNA, 202 nt
Filed under: Trifolium pratense (red clover)
Lineage: Eukaryota; Viridiplantae; Streptophyta; Magnoliopsida; Fabales; Fabaceae
Description: long non-coding RNA (TPRA_LNC004481)
Source: RNAcentral
UCAAUUUGCAUACGUGGACGGACACGUGGCACUUGGACACGCUGACACGUGUACUAUUCAAACGGUGUUAGUGACAAAACUAACGGAAAGGACUAACUUGAAACUUAAAAUAAACGUAAGGGACCAAAUUGAUACUUUUUAAACGUAAGGGACCAAAUUGAAACCUAAAAUAAACGUAAGGGACCAAAUAUGUAGUUAAACC